Non-coding RNA from Cinara cedri, 1425 nucleotides. The record is from the annotation of a GenBank genome assembly. NCBI's taxonomy places the organism in Eukaryota, Metazoa, Arthropoda, Insecta, Hemiptera, Aphididae.
UAUAUAUAUUUGCAUUUUUGUAGUGUAUCUGCGGUGAAAACACGCACUUGACCUUGACGGGGCAGAAUUUUCAAAACCAGUCAAUCGGGGUAUUUGGUGGCAGUUCUUUCUAUAAAGUACGAUUACUUAUAUUGUAUUAUAUGAUGUUCGGUCGUAUGAAUUGGCGACGGUGAUCAAUACUAGGUUAGAAUUUACUGAAUUACGAUCACGUUUCGUAACACACGUACAUUGUAGAUUUUAUCAUCACGACAACGAUUAUAUCAUAAUAUUUAUGAGUAUUCGAAUUAUUAUUAUUAUUUUAUUUUAAAUCGCCAAGUGAUUCAAGUAAUCCAUAGAUUUAUCUAUGGUUUUAAUUUUUCGGUUUUUAAAAAUAUACCAAAACUUUCACAUUUUAAUCUUCGCCCGGUAGUCUGCUAUUUGAAACGUUUUUCCAGAUGUUCAAUAGUUGGAAAAAAACCACACUCACACACUACUCAGAAUUCUUUGUACAUACAAAUUUGAAAUAUAGUAAAUCACAUCUAUAAAUAAAUAAAUAUCCUAUACCUCCUUAUCUAAAUGUGUGGCCUAUUCAUGGUGCGAAAUAUGUUUGAUUUUUUAGGUUAGGUUAGGCGUGGGCGUAACGCGCGGGCGUGAUAAUAAUUUGAGGGUUACGGCCGAUUAUAAUUACUAAAGUCGUGUCGUGGAUUACGCAUGUCCCUUACAGUAAAUAUUAUUUGCCAUCCUAAAAUUGUUGAUUUAUACGUCUCGUAAAGUUCCAAAAUGAAAACACGAACUAUAAAACUGUUCGAACAAAAAGUUAAAGACUUAUCUUCGACCGUUUCUGACCUAUCGCAUUGUUUAUUCGAAUGCUGUAUAUCUAAUUUAGCACUAUCUUAAUAACGAACAAAUAUAUACCUACGAUAAAUGUAAUAUAUGUACAUACAUACUAGCACACAUAGAUAAAAACUGUAUGAUAUUUUUUCAUCGUUUAUUUUGUAAAAUGUAUAUAUUAUAUUUUAAGGGCCGACGUCAUACUUGCGGAAGAAUCUCCGUUGCGGAAAUUCUAUCGCGAUUUUUACGAAAGAAUUCUUCAUUUCCGGAAAUAAUUCGUAACUAUAUGAGUAAAAUUUGCGUGAAAAUAAUAAUUGAAUUGAAUUAUUUUAAAAUCAACGUAUGAAAGAGUGUUUUAUACGUUUUCAAAAACAAUAAAAAAAAAAGAAUUGAUACUGGGGACGGGUGUGCCACUAUUGUAGGUGGGAAAUUGGGAAUGUAGUAUACAGGGUGUUUCACUAAGCAUGCACACCCCAUUUUUUUUUGGUUAAAUUUUGAUAUUCAAAUUCUUAUAAAAAAACCUCCUGUUAAAUGUUCAUAUAUUUCUCUUUAGUUUAACAAUUUUAUCCACUAAGUCGCAAAAUUAAAACGUCUAUAAAUAGUUUAAAAAUAGUU